GCUACAUCACAUUGAAACACCAGUUCCCACAUUAUCACCAAAGUUAAGCAAUGUCGAACCUGGUCAGUACCUAGAUAGGUUACCACUUGGGAAUAUCAGGUGCUGUAA
This is a non-coding RNA of Acanthosepion pharaonis, 108 nucleotides long. The record is from the annotation of a GenBank genome assembly. Lineage: Eukaryota; Metazoa; Mollusca; Cephalopoda; Sepiida; Sepiidae.